UAAGUCUCACGUGAAUAAGGUCCCUUUCA
This 29-nucleotide non-coding RNA is filed under the name Mus musculus (house mouse). The record is from RNAcentral. Lineage: Eukaryota; Metazoa; Chordata; Mammalia; Rodentia; Muridae.